Long non-coding RNA from Pezoporus occidentalis (night parrot), 671 nucleotides. RefSeq lists it as uncharacterized. The record is from RefSeq and is a predicted model, not a curated record. Lineage: Eukaryota; Metazoa; Chordata; Aves; Psittaciformes; Psittacidae. The transcript is spliced from 3 exons.
GAGUCCGGGAUUGUGCAAAGACGCAGCGCCUCCUGUUGUCCGGUUGAGGUCCCGGGCUCAGCUCCUUCUGCCUGAGGGUGCUGCCGUAGGGGUUGCUGUCUGUGCAGUCUGGAGAACAGCACAGGCCGAGGGCAAAACUGACUGUCAGCAGAAUAGGGUUGCCAUACACAGGAGACAAAGAGGGCUGAAAAGGGACAGAUCCGCUCUCCCGCACUGUGCCCGCCAGAUCCCGAGGCUCAGCUUGCGGGUCUCUAACGCUGCCUCCGGAUGACGCUGAAACUUGUGGGCCUUAAGAUAUAAGCUCACUCAAGCGAGCAAAUUCUGACCAGUGCUCGCCACACAAAAGCCUUCACGUCCCGUCCCCGAGGGUCGGAGGACGCGCGUGUCUCCCGAGUCCGAGUGAUGCUGUGGGAAACCUUGCGUGGCAUGGCCCUCCCCACCGACAGGGGGCGCUUGCUAGGGGUGGCAGCCGGCACCGCCGUCUCUCUCUCUCAGCGGGAGCCUCAUUGCUUGGAUGCGGAGCGCGUCCUUCUGCCUUCCCGCUUGGUAGCGAGCGGCCGCAGCUCUUGUGGAGUUUACGGGCCUGGCUCCUUGUCGUCCUCGGGGCCGCCGGCUUCUUGUGGGGCGGGGGAAGACGAGCAGCCUUCCUGUGCGGGGCUGUGUCGGUGCGU